This 339-nucleotide long non-coding RNA is filed under the name Pan troglodytes (chimpanzee). Its description in RNAcentral is "long non-coding RNA NONPTRT013584". The record is from RNAcentral. Lineage: Eukaryota; Metazoa; Chordata; Mammalia; Primates; Hominidae.
UUUUAUUAUUAAUGAUGUAAAUUUCUACAAGUAGUUAUUACACUAUCUUCCUGUGCCCAAAAGCUCCUGGUCCAUUUUCUAUCAGGCAUCUCUCAAGUAGAUGCUCAUCCUUCUGCGUCCCAGCUGAGGCCUUUGUGCAGAAAAUGUUACAGUUGUGCCUUUUUUUCCUUGCUAUCUGGGACAGAAGGAGAGUGUAGGUAACCGUUGGUGAGCUAACCAAGAACUUCAAUAACUCCCACAGGAAGAGCCGGUAGGGAGUUUGUAUUUUUGGCCAUGAAUCCAGGGCUUUCAUUUUAAGUUCCAGGGUGCGUCAUGCAGUUGAGCACUGAUUGAAUGGGG